This is a non-coding RNA of Caenorhabditis elegans, 65 nucleotides long. NCBI's taxonomy places the organism in Eukaryota, Metazoa, Nematoda, Chromadorea, Rhabditida, Rhabditidae. The record is from Ensembl.
AAUUUCGGUGGCCUAGAAAAAUAUAUUUCUAGGCCACCAACUUCAAACUGUCAUAACUUGGCUGA